Molecule: ribosomal RNA, 253 nt
Filed under: uncultured bacterium
Lineage: Bacteria
Description: partial 16S ribosomal RNA
Rfam family: Bacterial small subunit ribosomal RNA
Source: RNAcentral
UACGAAGGGGGCUAGCGUUGUUCGGAAUUACUGGGCGUAAAGGGCGCGUAGGCGGCUUCGAUAGUCGGGCGUGAAAUGCCUGGGCUCAACCCAGGAAUUGCACUCGAAACUCCGAGGCUUGAGUGUGGGAGAGGUUGGUGGAAUUCCCAGUGUAGAGGUGAAAUUCGUAGAUAUUGGGAAGAACACCGGUGGCGAAGGCGGCCAACUGGACCACAACUGACGCUGAGGCGCGAAAGCGUGGGGAGCAAACAGG